GAUGAACGCUGGCGGCGUGCCUAAUACAUGCAAGUCGAGCGAACAGACGAGGAGCUUGCUCCUCUGACGUUAGCGGCGGACGGGUGAGUAACACGUGGAUAACCUACCUAUAAGACGGGGAUAACUUCGGGAAACCGGAGCUAAUACCGGAUAAUAUAUUGAACCGCAUGGUUCAAUAGUGAAAGACGGUUUUGCUGUCACUUAUAGAUGGAUCCGCGCCGCAUUAGCUAGUUGGUAAGGUAACGGCUUACCAAGGCAACGAUGCGUAGCCGACCUGAGAGGGUGAUCGGCCACACUGGAAGUGAGACACGGUCCAGACUCCUACGGGAGGCAGCAGUAGGGAAUCUUCCGCAAUGGGCGAAAGCCUGACGGAGCAACGCAGCGUGAGUGAUGAAGGUCUUCGGAUCGGAAAACUCUGUUAUGAGGGAAGAACAAAUGUGUAAGUAACUAUGCUCGUCUUGACGGUACCUAAUCAGAAAGCCACGGCUAACUACGUG
RNAcentral lists this ribosomal RNA (497 nucleotides) under uncultured bacterium. Its description in RNAcentral is "partial 16S ribosomal RNA". It matches the Rfam family "Bacterial small subunit ribosomal RNA", at positions 28 to 507 of the family's 1533-position model. The record is from RNAcentral.